CUCCCGUUAGCUUAACGGUAUAGCAGUCCUCUUUAUUAGGACGGAGCCUGGUUCGACUCCAGGGCGGGAGA
This 71-nucleotide transfer RNA is filed under the name Kwoniella heveanensis CBS 569. Its description in RNAcentral is "tRNA-Sup (TTA) (tRNA-Sup-TTA-1-1)". It matches the Rfam family "tRNA". Rfam says of the family: Transfer RNA (tRNA) molecules are approximately 80 nucleotides in length. Their secondary structure includes four short double-helical elements and three loops (D, anti-codon, and T loops). The record is from RNAcentral. Lineage: Eukaryota; Fungi; Basidiomycota; Tremellomycetes; Tremellales; Cryptococcaceae. RNAcentral also lists the same sequence under 1 other name.